UAUACUUAAUACGCAUAUUCCCCACUCCACCUACAAAUACAAAGUAAACUUAUCCAAAAACCAAUCUCCUCAACCCUUCUUAAACCCUAGCCACCAUUUUUCCCCAAUUCGAUUCCAUUUCCUCAAACCAUGGCAUCUUGUAACCUCUCUUCAUGCAACCUUUCUUCCUCCGCUUCCAUUUCCUCGUUCUCCUCUAAUGCCUCCCGUAGAAGAACCACAAACAACGUCGCUCUCACUAGAAGGAGCCGAAACCCCAAAGUCUCCGCUAUGGCCAAGGAAUUGCAUUUCAACAAAGAUGGCUCCGCUAUCAAGAAACUUCAGAAUGGUGUGAACAAGCUUGCGGAUUUGGUUGGUGUUACUCUUGGUCCUAAAGGAAGGAAUGUUGUUCUUGAGAGCAAGUAUGGUUCUCCUAAAAUUGUUAACGAUGGUGUUACUGUUGCCAAAGAGGUUGAGUUGGAGGAUCCAGUUGAGAAUAUUGGUGCCAAAUUGGUGAGACAAGCAGCUGCCAAGACAAACGAUUUGGCGGGUGAUGGAACCACUACCUCUGUUGUUUUGGCUCAGGGUCUUAUUGCAGAAGGUGUCAAGGUUGUUGCAGCAGGUGCAAACCCUGUGCUCAUCACACGUGGCAUUGAGAAAACAGCGAAGGCACUUGUGGCUGAGCUUAAACUGAUGUCAAAAGAGGUUGAAGAUAGUGAAUUGGCAGAUGUGGCAGCAGUAAGUGCAGGGAACAAUCAUGAGGUUGGAAAUAUGAUUGCCGAAGCAUUGAGUAAGGUUGGUAGAAAGGGUGUUGUGACACUUGAGGAGGGGAAGAGUGCUGAAAACAGUCUGUAUGUUGUUGAGGGGAUGCAAUUUGAUAGAGGAUAUAUUUCACCGUACUUUGUUACUGACAGUGAGAAAAUGUCUGUUGAAUUUGAGAACUGCAAGUUGCUAUUGGUUGACAAAAAGAUAACCAAUGCAAGGGAUCUUAUUAACAUAUUGGAGGAUGCAAUUAGAAGUGGUUUUCCUAUUUUGAUAAUUGCCGAGGAUAUUGAACAAGAAGCUUUAGCAACUCUUGUUGUGAACAAACUUAGAGGAUCACUGAAGAUUGCAGCACUCAAGGCCCCUGGAUUUGGAGAACGCAAGAGCCAGUACCUCGAUGAUAUUGCCAUCUUGACUGGAGGUACUGUUAUCAGAGAGGAGGUUGGCCUUAGCUUAGACAAAGCUGGGAAAGAGGUUCUUGGCAAUGCCUCCAAGGUGGUGCUCACCAAAGACACAACCACAAUUGUUGGUGAUGGAAGUACCCAGGAAGCAGUUACCAAGAGAGUUUCACAAAUUAAGAACCAAAUUGAGGCUGCAGAACAAGAGUAUGAAAAGGAGAAGCUGAAUGAAAGGAUUGCAAAACUAUCCGGUGGUGUGGCUGUAAUACAGGUUGGUGCACAAACUGAGACAGAACUCAAGGAAAAGAAAUUGAGAGUUGAAGACGCUCUUAAUGCUACAAAGGCAGCUGUUGAAGAGGGUAUUGUAGUUGGUGGUGGGUGCACUUUGCUCAGACUUGCAUCAAAGGUGGAUGCAAUCAAGGAUACCCUUGCAAAUGAUGAAGAAAAAGUGGGUGCAGACAUUGUUAAAAGAGCUCUUAGUUACCCUCUGAAAUUAAUAGCAAAAAAUGCUGGUGUAAAUGGCAGUGUUGUCAGUGAGAAGGUUCUGUCCAAUGACAAUACAAGAUAUGGAUAUAAUGCUGCCACUGGAAAAUACGAAGAUUUAAUGUCUGCCGGGAUCAUCGAUCCGACAAAGGUGGUCAGAUGUUGCCUGGAACAUGCAGCCUCUGUUGCCAAAACGUUCUUAAUGUCAGACUGUGUUGUUGUUGAGAUAAAGGAACCUGAGCCUGUAGUUGCUGGCAACCCCAUGGACAAUUCAGGCUAUGGUAUGUAGAUGAUGCGGCUGCUUAAAGUGGGGACACCAUUUCCCCCUAUUUUUUUCAAUGUAAUUCGUAAUCUGGUAGAGCAUAUUUAAUUCGUAGGAAGAAGUCCAGAUGUAAGACGGACACACAUGUAGUGUUGUGAACCAGAAUGAGUGACAUUUUUGUUUCUCUAAAGGAUUUGAUGUUGUUAAGUCAAAAUGAUUGGAAUCAUGCUGUUAUUCGGUUUAUUUCCCCAGAAGUUCAUUGACACUGGCAACUCUUCUGUUAGCUUUGGCGUGAAUCAUACAAGGAUAUUGGUUCAAACAAAGACAUGUCACUGUAUAGUUUAUUAAUGGAGAAUCAGGUCACUAAGGACAAUGGAGAAUGGUCAAUUAUUUGGCGAUUGGCAGUGUCACCGAGAGUAAUGUUAAUGGAUAAUGGUUUUUUUUUUAUUAUCACAUUCCACAUUUCUAGAAUAUGAGUACGUCUUGUUUUAUUU
Non-coding RNA from Cicer arietinum (chickpea), 2375 nucleotides. The record is from RefSeq and is a predicted model, not a curated record. NCBI's taxonomy places the organism in Eukaryota, Viridiplantae, Streptophyta, Magnoliopsida, Fabales, Fabaceae.